RNAcentral lists this ribosomal RNA (510 nucleotides) under Chauliodoniscus sp. 01 SB-2021a. RNAcentral describes it as "partial 16S ribosomal RNA". It matches the Rfam family "Bacterial large subunit ribosomal RNA", at positions 1802 to 2617 of the family's 2925-position model. The record is from RNAcentral. Lineage: Eukaryota; Metazoa; Arthropoda; Malacostraca; Isopoda; Haploniscidae.
GUUUAUCAAAAACAUCUCCAAUCCCGCGGUUGGUAGACUCUGCUCAAUGAUUAUAAAUAGCCGCAGUAUUUUAACUGUGCUAAGGUAGCAUAAUAAUUAGGCUUUUUAUAAAAGUCUAGUAUGAAAGAGCUGACGACUCCCAGGCUUUCCUGGUUUAGGGUUGUAAAUUUAUUUUUAAGUAAAAAAGCUUAACUAUCUAGAAAGACGAUAAGACCCUAUAAAGCUUUCACUGAUAAAAGCUGCGCGAAAAGAGUUCAGCGCCGGUUUGAUCAGUUGAGCUGGGGCGGCAAUUAAAUUUCUUUAAUGAAGAAAACAAAAUAUCUGAGUGAAUAGAUCUAAAAAGAAAUAGAAUAAGCUACUUUAGGGAUAACAGCGCAAUCUUUUUAUAGAGAACGUAUCGAUAAAAAGGACUUGCGACCUCGAUGUUGAAUUGAGGGGCCUAAAUUAAGCAAAAAUAAUUUAAGGGAGUCUGUUCGACUUUUAAUUCCUCACGUGAUCUGAGUUCAGACC